GAUGAACGCUGGCGGCGUGCCUAAUACAUGCAAGUCGAGCGAAGCGGGAACGGGUGAGUAACACGUGGAUAACCUCCUAUAAGACUGGGAUAACCUGGGGAAACCGGAGAUAAACCGAAUACUUAUCUAUGGCUCCGCGCUGCAUUAGCUAGUUGGUAAGGUAACGGGUGACGAAGGAAACGAUGCAUAGCCGACCGGAGAGGGUGAUCGGCCACACUGCAACUGAGACACGGUCCAGACUCCUGCGGGAUGCAGGAGUAGGGAAUCUUCCGCAAUGGGCGAAAGCCGGACGGAGCAACGCGGCGUGAGUGAUGAAGGUUUUCGGAUCGUAAAACUCUGUUAUUAGUGAAGCGGUACCUAAUCAGAAAGCCACGGCUAACUACGUGCCAGCAGCCGCGGUAAUAC
This 405-nucleotide ribosomal RNA is filed under the name uncultured bacterium. RNAcentral describes it as "partial 16S ribosomal RNA". It matches the Rfam family "Bacterial small subunit ribosomal RNA", at positions 28 to 526 of the family's 1533-position model. The record is from RNAcentral.